GUGUCAGCCGCCGCGGUAAUACAGAGGUCCCAAGCGUUGUUCGGAUUUACUGGGCGUAAAGGGAGCGUAGGUGGCAUUCUAAGUCUGAUGUGAAAGCUCUGAGCUUAACUCAGAAAUGGCAUUAGAUACUAGUUUGCUUGAGGAUUGGAGGGGAGAUUGGAAUUCUUGGUGUAGCAGUGAAAUGCGUAGAUAUCAAGAGGAACACCAGUGGCGAAGGCGAAUCUCUGGACAAUUCCUGACACUGAUGCUCGAAAGCUAGGGGAGCAAACGGGAUUAGAAACCCUCGUAGUCC
This 292-nucleotide ribosomal RNA is filed under the name uncultured bacterium. RNAcentral describes it as "partial 16S ribosomal RNA". It matches the Rfam family "Bacterial small subunit ribosomal RNA", at positions 505 to 796 of the family's 1533-position model. The record is from RNAcentral.